CCUACGGGCGGCUGCAGUAGGGAAUUUUCGUCAAUGCUCGCAAGACUGAACGAGCAAUGCCGCGUGAACGAGGAAGGUCUUCGGAUCGUAAAGUUCUGUUGACGGGGAAAAAAAGCGGAGAGAGGAAAUGCUUUCUGAUUGAUAUUACCCUUCGAGGAAGUCACGGCUAACUACGUGCCAGCAGCCGCGGUAAUACGUAGGUGGCGAGCGUUAUCCGGAGUGAUUGGGCGUAAAGGGUGCGUAGGCGGCCUGCUAAGUCUGGAGUGAAAGGUAGCGGCUCAACCGGGACAGGCUAUGGAAACUGGCGGGCUAGAGGGCAGGAGAGGGCGGUAGAACUCCAUGUGUAGCGGUAAAAUGCGUAGAUAUAUGGAAGAACACCAGUGGCGAAGGCGGCCGCCUGGCCUGUUACUGACGCUGAGGCACGAAAGCGUGGGGAGCAAAUAGGAUUAGAUACCCCGGUAGUC
Molecule: ribosomal RNA, 464 nt
Filed under: uncultured bacterium
Lineage: Bacteria
Description: partial 16S ribosomal RNA
Rfam family: Bacterial small subunit ribosomal RNA
Source: RNAcentral